RNAcentral lists this ribosomal RNA (240 nucleotides) under uncultured bacterium. RNAcentral's name for it is "partial 16S ribosomal RNA". It matches the Rfam family "Bacterial small subunit ribosomal RNA", at positions 336 to 593 of the family's 1533-position model. The record is from RNAcentral.
UUCCUACGGGACGCAGCAGUGGGGAAUAUUGCACAAUGGGGGAAACCCUGAUGCAGCAACGCCGCGUGAGUGAAGAAGUCAUUCGUGAUGUAAAGCUCUAUCAGCAGGGAAGAAAAUGACGGUACCUGAGUAAGAAGCCCCGGCUAACUACGUGCCAGCAGCCGCGGUAAUACGUAGGGGGCAGGCGUUAUCCGGAUUUACUGGGUGUAAAGCGAGUGCAGGCGGUUCAAUAAGUCUGAU